RNAcentral lists this ribosomal RNA (477 nucleotides) under uncultured bacterium. RNAcentral describes it as "partial 16S ribosomal RNA". It matches the Rfam family "Bacterial small subunit ribosomal RNA", at positions 28 to 507 of the family's 1533-position model. The record is from RNAcentral.
GAUGAACGCUGGCGGCGUGCCUAAUACAUGCAAGUCGAGCGAACGGACGAGAAGCUUGCUUCUCUGAUGUUAGCGGCGGACGGGUGAGUAACACGUGGAUAACCUACCUAUAAGACUGGGAUAACUUCGGGAAACCGGAGCUAAUACCGGAUAAUAUUUUGAACCGCAUGGUUCAAAAGUGAAAGACGGUCUUGCUGGCGCUUAUAGAUGGAUCCGCGCUGCAUUAGCUAGUUGGUAGGGUAACGGCUUACCAAGGCAACGAUGCAUAGCCGACCUGAGAGGGUGACGGGCCACAUGGGGACGGAGGUACGGCCAAGACGCCUACGGGGGGCAGUAGUGGGGAAUAUUGCACAAUUGGCAGAAGCGUGAUACAUAAACGCAGCGUGCGGGAUGACGGCCUGCGGGUAGUAAACCGAUUGCGCCUGUGACGAAGCGUGAGUGACGGUAAUGGGUAAAGAAGCACCGGCUAACUACGUG